This 1188-nucleotide ribosomal RNA is filed under the name Triticum aestivum (bread wheat). RNAcentral's name for it is "partial small subunit ribosomal RNA". Lineage: Eukaryota; Viridiplantae; Streptophyta; Magnoliopsida; Poales; Poaceae. The record is from RNAcentral.
AUGGCCCAUGCUAAUGUUGCCCUCAACUUCAACGCGUUCCUAGAGAAAACCAAGUUGAAAGACGAUGGAAGCAACUACACGAACUGGGUCCGUAACCUGAGGACUAUCCUCAUAGCUGCCAAGAAAGCAUAUGUCCUUGAAGCACCGCUAGGUGAUGCACCUGUUUUCCCAGCAACUCAAGACGUUAUGAACGCUUGGCAGUCGCGUAGUGAUGAUUACUCCCUGGUUCAGUGCGGCAUGCUUUACAGCUUAGAACCGGGGCUCCAAAACCGUUUUGAGCAGCACGGAGCAUAUGAGAUGUUCCAAGAGCUGAAAAUGGUUUUCCAAGCUCAUGCUCGGGUCGAGAGAUAUGAAGUCUCCGACAAGUUCUACAGUUUUAAGAUGGAGGAGAAUAGUUCUGUCAGCGAGCACAUACUCAAAAUGGCUGGGUUGCACAACCGCUUAUCUCAGCUGGGAGUUAAUCUCCCGGAUGAUGCGGUCGUUGACAGAAUCCUUCAGUCGCUCCCACCUAGCUACAAGAGCUUUGUGAUGAACUUCAAUUUGCAGGGGAUUGAAAAGACCAUUCCUGAGGUAUAUUCAAUGUUGAAAUCAGCAGAGGUGGAGAUCAAAAAGGAACAUCAAGUGUUGAUGGUGAAUAAAACCACUAAGUUCAAGAAAGGCAAGGGUAAGAAGAACUUCAAGAAGGACGGCAAGGGAGUUGCCGCGCCGGGUAAGCCAGUUGCCGGGAAGAAGCCAAAGCAUGGACCCAAACCUGAGACUGAGUGCUUUUAUUGCAAGGGAAACGGUCACUGGAAGCGGAACUGCCCCAAGUACUUAGCGGAUAAGAAGGCCGGCAAUACCAAAGGUAUAUGUGAUAUGCAUGUUAUUGAUGUGUACCUAACCAGCGCUCGUAGUAGCUCCUGGGUAUUUGAUACCGGUGCGGUUGCUCAUAUUUGUAACUCAAAACAGGAGCUGCGGAAUAAGCGGAGACUGGCAAAGGACGAGGUGACGAUGCGCGUCGGGAAUGGUUCCAAGGUCGAUGUGAUCGCCGUCGGCACGCUACCUCUACAUUUACCUACGGGAUUAGUUUUAAACCUCAAUAAUUUUUAUUUAGUACCAGCUUUGAGCAUGAACAUUGUAUCUGGAUCUCGUUUAAUGCGAAAUGGUACUCAUUUAAAUCUGAGAAUAAUGGUUGUUCUAUUUAUAUGA